ACUUGGGAGCCAGAGGUUGCAGUAAGCCGAGAUCGUGCCACUGCACUCCAGCCUGGACGACAGAGCUAUACUUCAUCUCAAAAACAAAAAAAAGGAUCCUCAGGGCUGCCAACUUUAUAGUAGAAGUCGAGGUGGUAGUGGAUUUCUCCUACACAA
This 156-nucleotide small nucleolar RNA is filed under the name Piliocolobus tephrosceles (Ugandan red Colobus). RNAcentral's name for it is "Small nucleolar RNA U109 (ENSPTEG00000011459.1)". The stretch from base 53 to 156 matches the Rfam family "Small nucleolar RNA U109". Lineage: Eukaryota; Metazoa; Chordata; Mammalia; Primates; Cercopithecidae. The record is from RNAcentral.